RNAcentral lists this ribosomal RNA (221 nucleotides) under Strumigenys elongata. RNAcentral's name for it is "partial large subunit ribosomal RNA". The record is from RNAcentral. Lineage: Eukaryota; Metazoa; Arthropoda; Insecta; Hymenoptera; Formicidae.
GAAUUUAAUAUAGUUUUAUUUAUAUAAAUAUUUGUUGAAGUAUUAUAAGUAAAUAUAAUUUAAUUGGGAGGAUUAUUAAAUUUGGGUAACUUUAAUUAAAAUAGACUAUAAAUUAAUAUUGAUAAAUAUUUUUGAAUGAUUGAUUAAUUAAUGAAAAAUUAAUUACCUUAGGGAUAACAGCGUAAUAUUUUUAUAGAGAUCUUAUUGAUAAAAAUGAUUGC